UAGGGAAUCUUCGGAAUGGGGGGAACCCUGACCGAGCAACGCCGCGCGAGUGAAGAAGGUUUUCGGAUCGUAAAGCUCUGUUGUUAAGGAAGAACGAGCGUGAGAAUGGAAAGUUCAUGCUGUGACGGUACUUAACCAGAAAGGGACGGCUAACUACGUGCCAGCAGCAGCGGUAAUACGUAGGUCCCGAGCGUUGUCCGGAUUUAUUGGGCGUAAAGCGAGCGCAGGCGGUUAGAAAAGUCUGAAGUGAAAGGCAGUGGCUCAACCAUUGUAGGCUUUGGAAACUGUUUAACUUGAGUGCAGAAGGGGAGAGUGGAAUUCCAUGUGUAGCGGUGAAAUGCGUAGAUAUAUGGAGGAACACCGGUGGCAAAAGCGGCUCUCUGGUCUGUAACUGACGCUGAGGCUAGAAAGCGUGGGGAGCGAACAGG
RNAcentral lists this ribosomal RNA (428 nucleotides) under Bacteroidota bacterium. RNAcentral describes it as "Bacteroidetes bacterium partial 16S ribosomal RNA". It matches the Rfam family "Bacterial small subunit ribosomal RNA", at positions 355 to 776 of the family's 1533-position model. Lineage: Bacteria; Pseudomonadati; Bacteroidota. The record is from RNAcentral.